RNAcentral lists this long non-coding RNA (1230 nucleotides) under Gallus gallus (chicken). RNAcentral describes it as "lncRNA (ENSGALG00010014023.1)". The record is from RNAcentral. Lineage: Eukaryota; Metazoa; Chordata; Aves; Galliformes; Phasianidae.
CUCAAACACACUUUCAAACUUGGGAAAAUGUUUUCACUGUGAACCUGUACUAGAGCCUCUGCUCUGCCCUGUGCGUGGUUCUCAAAUUGAAGCAGGGACACAGCAUCUCCAUAAGGAAGGUGUUCACUUGUGGAGGGAGGGUAGAUCUGUUCUCAUGCACUUUUGCUAUCCUUUAAAGGACCCUCUGAGCACAUUGCAGUGUGGAGACAAACUGUACCAGGCAGUUAAAUUAAAAACAAAAGACUGAGUUUUAUUACCCUUCCCCAUGCUAAAAAGUGCCUCAUUCCUGAAGUAGUCCUGUUGAUGUCCAAGCCAAGCGAAGUCUCCAGAAAGAGAGAUGAACAUAACUGGCAACACGAUGCAAUUCUCAGGGCUGUGAUUUCUUUCUUUUUUUUUUUUUUUUUCUCUUUUUUCCUCGUGAAAUUAACUGGAGUUGGGAUCUUUGAUAUAAGUACAUACUAGUGUAAGAUUUGUUUUUUCCCUGGGCAUUAACUUCAUGAAAUAUUGAAAUUCGGUGUUAAUCAAGUGAAAAGAUUCAAACGUGUCUAGAAAGAAAAAAAAAUGUGGAAAAUUUAGGCUUAAUGUCAGCAUUUUCCUUCAUAGGAUCCAGAAACAAAUCUGCUCUUCCUGGAGUGAGCAGGCAUUUUGCUGGUAGCUUUGGCAGAUGCCAUCGGGCCCCUCUCGCCACCAAAUGCACUGUUUUCCUCUUAUCUAAGUGUGCAUUUGAGUUAAUGGCCAAACUAGCUGUGCACUUCCUCGCCCACUGGUGCUACUGCUGGGGCAGCUUCUGGCUUCCUGGCAACCUCUGGCCUUGACUUCCCACUCGUCAGUCUCAAAAAGUCUUGACUCUGCAAAGCCAUUACUCCCCUAUAUGUGCAGUAUUGAUUUGGCUCCUGUGCGUGUCUCUUUGGGAUGAGUUUGGUGGCUCGUUUUACAGAAUCACAGAAUCAGAGAGGUUGGAAGGGACCUCUGGAGACCACCGAGUCCAAUCCCUGCUAAAGCAGUCUCCCUACAGCAGGUCGCGCAGGCAGGUGUCCAGGCAGGUUUUGAAUAUCUCCAGAGAAGGCAACUCCACAACCCCUCUGGGUAGCCUGUUCCAGUGCUCUGCCACCCUCACAGUAAAGAAGUUUAUCCUCAUGUUCAAGUGGAACUUCCUAUGUUCCAGUUUGUGCUCAUUGCCCCUUGUUUUGUUACUGGGCACCACCAAAAAGAGCCUGGCCCCACCCACUU